CAAAAAAAAAUCCCGUAAUUAACUCAGACUCUAUAUCUAAUCUCAUCUAUAGAGGCAGCUAGUCAACCACCAUCGCGCCCCCACCAUCGCGCCGCCCGCAAGACCUCGCCGCCGAGGCACCCAACACAUCCCAUCCCUACCCCCACCGACCACCACAGCACUGGAUCUCCAUUCCCCUCUAACGCCCGGCGGCCCUGCACGGACAUAGUGCUGGCAGCAAGAUCCCAUCAUCUUUGGCCUCCUGCUGGACGGUGGACGCCACUGGUGCAGAUUCAGAUUGUACUUCUUUUUUCCAAGUUAUGCUUCCUGGAAGCCCACAUGUUCUACUAGCGCAAAGGUGCAGAUUUCCAAUUCGUGUUUUUUUUCGAAUUAUGCUUCCUGAAAGCCCACAUGUUCUACUAUCUCGACACACUUAUUGUGGAAUAGAAGUAUAAUUUGAUGGACUGGGACAUCACCCUGAUUUUCUAAUUGCCCGUAUUAAAACUCUCAUAUUUUCAUGUCCAGUGAUGAUCAGAAGCUGCUCGAUAAAAUGCCCCUUUGGUUUCAAGUUUCUUUAUUGUCAUUGAUUGCUGUUGACGAAAUGAUAUUUGAGAAACAUAACCUAUGGUAAUAUUUUCAUUCAGCUCCAGACAUUUGGUACCCACCAUCUAAUUUUAAAUUUUAUUCUUGACGAUUAUUGUAAUGAACUACUCCCUUUGAUCCCUUUUAAUUGACUUGGAUUUAGUACAACUUCUUUUUAAUUGACUCAGAUUUAGUGGGAUCAGACGGAGUAGAAAAUUCAUAAUUAAAAAGUAUAUAGAGUCUGUAUGUAGAAUGUUAUCUCCACUUAUACAUGAACCUUCCUGGCUUAGAGUCGGGAAACUUUUAUAUGAUCUAACCCAUGGUUUGAUGACUAUAAUUUGAGAAAUUUCAUUUGGCAUUGCAUAAUGUUCAUUGCUACUAAAGCAACUAAAUUUAACAUUUAAAAUUGCAGAGAAGAAAUUAUUUCAUUUAUAUCUAUGUACUACGGAUAGUCUAGGUGGAGCAUAUUUUCUAUUCACAAAUAAGAAUAGUGAAGUAAGCCUUUGUCACGACUUAAGUUAGUACCAUCAACUAGAGUGCUGGUGAUGGACAAACCAAGUACAAAACUGGGUUUGUGAUGAUUGCCAUCUUUGUUUAUUUUGGUACUUCUCGUAGGAACUUGUCAACAGAGUUUUCUUGUAAUUAUCUUUCUCUUAUUUCAGGUGGAGUAACUAACGUACAUGUGAGUACUGAUGGACAGGGAGAACAAUUCUUGCUAAGAAUUACCAACACUAUGGUGCUUUGGUGUCGGCUCUUAUGAUGAUUGGCGGAGGAAUCAAGUCUGUUUUUGGUUUCAUCGUAGACAUUCUUAUUCUGGCAUUCUGGAUUAGUUAUUAUGAAGUUCUCAAUGUUUUUGCCAUGAGGUGGCCAUAUGAUGUUGUUGCAAACGACUAGUUGUUGUUUGUGUCUCACUAAUGUAAACGUAAUUUUCAGUAA
Lolium perenne is the source of this 1497-nucleotide long non-coding RNA. RefSeq lists it as uncharacterized. The record is from RefSeq and is a predicted model, not a curated record. Lineage: Eukaryota; Viridiplantae; Streptophyta; Magnoliopsida; Poales; Poaceae.